GUCUAUGGUCAUGCCACACUGAACACGCCCAAUCCCGUCUGAUCUUGGAAGCUAAGCAGGGUCGGGUCUGGUUAGUUCUUGGAUGGGAGGCCACCUAGGAAGACUGGGUGGUGUAGGCA
This 119-nucleotide ribosomal RNA is filed under the name Pteropus alecto (black flying fox). The record is from RNAcentral. Lineage: Eukaryota; Metazoa; Chordata; Mammalia; Chiroptera; Pteropodidae.